ACCGACGCAUGCGCGCCGCGCACUAGACGAAGCGGCUGUGGCGCUGGUGGCGGCUGCUGCUGCGGUGUCUGUGGGGACAGAGACGGUGGAAGUGCCAUCUUCGGCUCGGUUGGCCCAGACAGCGGCUCAUGGCAUUGAGUGGCAUCCAUCGUCAGGUCAUUAACUGAAGAAAAAAUAAAUAGCUAUGCAAAAUUCUCACAUGGAUGAGUACAGAAAUUCUAAUAAUGGCAGCACAGGCAACAGUUCAGAGGUAGUGAUAGAACAGUCUGCUGAUUUCAGUACUGAAAUUAUGAACGUUACGGAAAUGGAACAGUCACCUGAUGGAUCUCCUACAGUGACUACAACUACAGAAGAAAAUGAAACGGCAAAUACUGUGGACCUUCCUGUGACAGAAACAGAAGCAAAUUUCCCUCCAGAAUAUGAAAAGUUUUGGAAAACUGUAGAAAAUAAUCCUCAGGAUUUUACAGGCUGGGUAUAUUUGCUUCAGUAUGUAGAACAGGAGUGAUCUGGAACUGAACCCGCAAUAUCUCUGAGAAUCACUUGAUGGCUGCCAGGAAAGCGUUUGACAAAUUUUUCAUACACUAUCCGUAUUGCUAUGGUUAUUGGAAAAAGUAUGCAGACCUUGAAAAGCGGCAUGACAACAUUAAACAAUCAGAUGAGGUGCGUUAAACCUCUACAGUUUGUCAAGCUUUGCAGUGCAAGCCUCUGUAUUACACUGCAGCUUAACAAACGCUGUCAUUGAUGCUCUAAUGGGUCUGUGCCCUAUGGUCUGUAACCCAAAGCCUGCCCACACAACCCGGUCAGAAUGCAGGGACUGCUGCGCUUUGAAGAUCAAGACUCUGCACGUGGGGAUCAGAACAUUGCCAUGUUCUAUCCAACCUCCACCCAAAUGGUGUAUCGCCGGGGGCUUCAGGCAAUACCUCUUAGUGUUGACCUUUGGAUACAUUAUAUAAACUUCUUAAAAGAAACCCUGGACCCAGGUGAUCCUGAAACAACCAGUACAAUAAAAGGAACUUUUGAGCAUGCUGUUCUAGCUGCAGGAACAGAUUUCCGAUCUGACAGACUAUGGGAAAUGUAUAUAAACUGGGAAAAUGAACAGGGAAACCUGAGAGAAGUUACAGCUAUAUAUGAUCGUAUUCUUGGUAUUCCAACACAGCUUUAUAGUCAUCAUUUUCAGAGAUUUAAAGAACAUGUACAAAAUAACUUGCCUAGAGAUCUUCUAACUGGUGAACAGUUUAUUCAGCUGCGAAGGGAAUUAGCUUCUGUAAAUGGCCAUAGUGGUGAUGAUGGUCCUCCCGGUGAUGAUCUACCAUCAGGAAUUGAAGACAUAACUGAUCCAGCAAAGCUGAUUACUGAAAUAGAAAACAUGAGACAUAGAAUCAUUGAAAUUCAUCAAGAAAUGUUUAAUUAUAAUGAACAUGAAGUUAGUAAGAGGUGGACAUUUGAAGAAGGUAUUAAAAGACCUUAUUUUCAUGUGAAACCAUUGGAAAAGGCACAACUGAAAAACUGGAAAGAAUACUUAGAAUUUGAAAUCGAAAAUGGGACUCAUGAACGAGUUGUGGUUCUAUUUGAAAGAUGUGUCAUAUCAUGUGCCCUCUAUGAGGAGUUUUGGAUUAAGGAGAUGGUCUGCUUGCAACCAGAUUUGACUGCUGCAUAUGCCAACCUCGUUGCCUCUCUUCGUCCUUCCUUACAGAAACUAGUCUAGUGGUUCAAUAAAGUAUGCCAAGUACAUGGAAAACCAUAGCAUUGAAGGAGUGAGGCAUGUCUUCAGCAGAGCUUGCACAAUUCAUCUCCCAAAGAAACCUAUGGUGCAUAUGCUUUGGGCAGCUUUUGAGGAACAGCAGGGCAAUAUUAAUGAAGCCAGGAAUAUCUUGAGAACAUUUGAAGAAUGUGUCCUAGGACUGGCAAUGGUUCGUUUGAGAAGAGUAAGUUUAGAACGACGGCAUGGAAAUAUGGAAGAAGCUGAACGUCUGCUUCAGGAUGCCAUUAAGAAUGCCAAAGCAAAUAAUGAAUCAUCAUUUUAUGCUAUCAAACUUGCCCGACAUCUUUUCAAAAUACAAAAAAACCUUCCCAAAUCAAGAAAGGUGCUUUUGGAAGCAAUUGAAAGAGACAAAGAGAACACAAAGUUAUACCUCAAUUUACUUGAAAUGGAAUACAGUGGUGACCUCAAACAAAAUGAAGAAAAUAUCCUAAAUUGUUUUGACAAAGCUAUACAUGGUUCAUUACCUAUUAAAAUGAGAAUUACAUUUUCUCAGAGAAAAGUGGAAUUUCUUGAAGAUUUUGGCUCAGAUGUUAAUAAACUUCUGAAUGCUUAUGAUGAACAUCAGACACUCCUAAAAGAACAAGAUUCUUUAAAAAGGAAAGCAGAAAAUGGGUCAGAAGAACCAGAGGAAAAGAAAGCACACACAGAAGAUACUUCAUCAUCUACACAGAUGAUUGAUGGUGAUUUACAGGCAAAUCAAGCUGCUUAUAAUUAUAGUGCCUGGUAUCAAUACAAUUAUCAGAAUCCUUGGAAUUAUGGACAGUAUUAUCCUCCUCCUCCAACCUGAUGGGAAAAUUAAUAGCAGAUGGAGUAUGUGAAAAGUAUGAAAUUAUUUUUUUUUUAAUGAGGGAUGUAAACAGCAUAAACUUGCAUUUGAUAACUUGUCUUCCCUGUUUCUGUGUAACAUGAUUUGUUUAGUAAUAGGGGAAAAUGUCACUUAGUAGCUCACCACAGAUACUAUUUCCUACCAUUUAUAAAAUUUACUUUUUAUUGGAGAACUAUUUUUUUGAUUUUUGCAUUAAGUGGUCUAGAAUUCUUUUGCAAUGUAUUUGCAACAGAGUUUUGUAGCCUUAAGGUUAGGAAAAAACUGACUGCAAAUCAUGUCAGUGUAGUUUAAGAUUCUGAAAAUACAUAAGGGCUGGUUAAUAAGGAUUUACCUCCUCUUUAAAAAAAUGGAUUUUUAACCCUUGCUGACAAGACUGUUUGCGUGUUUCAGUUAUCCUUAUGAAUUUGGAUAUAACAGCAGAAAAGACACCUAUUAAAAUACUGUCUUGGAAUAGAGAUUAUAAGUGAGGAAAUGGAAUGUUUGCAUCCCCUUAAAAAAUGAAAGUCUUAUCAAAACUAUGUUGUUUCAGGAGACUUUGUAUUUGGAAUAUUCAUGUAAAACUUGUGAGCAAGCUUUCAUUUUGAUCAAACUGAUCAUCUUCAUUUUUGUAAUAAAACUGAAGACUCAUCUAGUAA
Non-coding RNA from Sus scrofa (pig), 3223 nucleotides. Lineage: Eukaryota; Metazoa; Chordata; Mammalia; Artiodactyla; Suidae. The record is from RefSeq and is a predicted model, not a curated record.